This 556-nucleotide ribosomal RNA is filed under the name Mycobacterium sp. 'cat'. Its description in RNAcentral is "bacterial SSU rRNA". It matches the Rfam family "Bacterial small subunit ribosomal RNA", at positions 38 to 586 of the family's 1533-position model. Lineage: Bacteria; Bacillati; Actinomycetota; Actinomycetes; Mycobacteriales; Mycobacteriaceae. The record is from RNAcentral.
GGCGGCGUGCUUAACACAUGCAAGUCGAACGGAAAGAUCUCCUAAGAAAUUCUUAGAGAUACUCGAGUGGCGAACGGGUGAGUAACACGUGGGUAAUCUGCCCUGCACUUCAGGGAUAAGCCUGGGAAACCGGGUCUAAUACCGAAUAGGACCUUAAGGCGCAUGCCUUGUGGUGGAAAGCUUUUGCGGUGUGGGAUGGGCCCGCGGCCUAUCAGCUUGUUGGUGGGGUGACGGCCUACCAAGGCGACGACGGGUAGCCGGCCUGAGAGGGUGUCCGGCCACACUGGGACUGAGAUACGGCCCAGACUCCUACGGGAGGCAGCAGUGGGGAAUAUUGCACAAUGGGCGCAAGCCUGAUGCAGCGACGCCGCGUGAGGGAUGACGGCCUUCGGGUUGUAAACCUCUUUCACCAUCGACGAAGGUCCGGGUUUUCUCGGGUUGACGGUAGGUGGAGAAGAAGCACCGGCCAACUACGUGCCAGCAGCCGCGGUAAUACGUAGGGUGCGAGCGUUGUCCGGAAUUACUGGGCGUAAAGAGCUCGUAGGUGGUUUGUCGC